UACGAAGGAUGCAAGCGUUAUCCGGAUUUAUUGGGUUUAAAGGGUGCGUAGGCGGCCUUAUAAGUCAGUGGUGAAAUCUUGUCGCUUAACGACAAACGUGCCAUUGAUACUGUAGGGCUUGAGUACAGAUGCCGUUGGCGGAAUGUGUCAUGUAGCGGUGAAAUGCAUAGAUAUGACACAGAACACCGAUUGCGAAGGCAGCUGACGAAACUGUAACUGACGCUGAUGCACGAAAGCGUGGGGAUCAAACAGG
This 253-nucleotide ribosomal RNA is filed under the name uncultured bacterium. RNAcentral's name for it is "partial 16S ribosomal RNA". It matches the Rfam family "Bacterial small subunit ribosomal RNA", at positions 524 to 776 of the family's 1533-position model. The record is from RNAcentral.